CUUGCAUUAGCAGGGAGCACAGGAGGCGCUUCAGCAUGUCCCGCCAGGAGAGCCAGGCGUGACGGUAGAUGGGUGUCCACACAUUCCCCGGGUUGACUUCCGUGACCAAGAUGCCUAGGAUUAAUGGGUUGGCUGAAAGCCCUUGAAGUGUACCCUACGGAGAAUCCCAGAAAAAUGGAAGAAUGGAUGACAUCCCAGCAUACAACCAUCAAAAGUGUAAAGCAGAACUGACUGACAUCUGUUGAGAUCUACUGAAAGUUUCAAGCAUAAUUUGCUUUACAGACAGCAACAGAGACAAAGCAGACGAGGUUAAGGAACAAUAAAGGAAGUCAACACGGAAUCCUAUCAGUCUGAGCCCAAGAAGCCAGUGAUCCAGAAGUAGCAGACAGACAGAGGGAAAGAAAACAAAUGGAUAAAUAAACGAAUAUGAGAAAAAAAGGAAGAAAGAGAUAAAGAGAGAGGGUGUGAAGAAUGAAUGAGUGAGAGAAAGAGGAAUAAAAUUAAUGAAGGAAAGGAAGAGAUAUGAUGAGAGAAAGUGAAAAAGAGGAUGGAUGAAGGAAUAAAGUGAUAACAGGAGGAAGCAUGAAGAAACAAAGAGAAGAACGAAAAAGAUAAUUAACCCAUUUGCCCCAUGUGGCGAGCCUCUGUCUGCCCAUGUCAACAAAACGUGGAAUAGCAAUGCUCCAGGGACCACAGACUUUAGGUGGAGAAGGAGGGAGAAUGUACCCAGAAAGUAAAACUUUUCAGGUACACCUGGUAUCAAGGUUGACCUGGACAAGGAUUCGAUGCCACUGGCAGUGUACAGAGUUCAUUACCAACAAGUUAAUUGACCUCAUAGUGGAAGAGACGAAUAGGUAUGUAGAGUUGAUUCGCAUAGCUUUUCUUUAAUAUACAUUACUGCUAUAUCCAGAUACCCGAACGAGACGGCACAGAGCCGCGGACGGCGAUGGCACCCGAUCACGAGUGCUGAGCUUCACGUCUACCUUGACCUCCGGAUGCUGAUGGGGAUCAACAAGAAACCUCGGCUAGCCUUUUACUGGUUGAGGAAUCCAGGGGUGGCCAUGCCAAUUUUCCCCUUGACCAUGCCUCAUGAGGUUCGAACAGAUUUCCUGCAACCUCCACUUCCAGAACAAUGAGAGGGAAUCUGAAGAGGAUGAUUGGCUGUGGAAGCUGAGGGAAGUGCUGACCAUUUUUGGGGAUCGCUUCAGGAAAGUCUUCAUCCCUGAUCAAUUCAUAUCCAUCGACGAGUCCCUUUGGAAAUUUAGGGGACGCCUAAGUUUCCGCACUUAUGACCUAAGCAAGCAAGCCAGAUUUGGGGUAAAGGUGUACAAACUUUCCUGUGUGCAGGGUAUAUGGCCGUGUUCAAGAUCUAUACAGGCAGGGAGCAGGGGCUCUACUGUCCUCUCAGAAAGUGGUGGUGGACUUGAUGGAGGCGGGUGAAUUCUUUUGGAAAGGGUACAAGGUGUAUGUUGACAACUGGUACACCUGUCCAGUGCUCUUUCAUUUUUUACAGUCUAGGAAAACUAGUGCAGUGGGGACUGUGUGCCUGAACCGCCACCACAUGCCUCGUGAUUUGAAGAUCCGGAAGCGGGGGGACGUGGACUCCCGGAGUUCUCCAACAGGCAUGUUGGCGCAAUCCUGGAUGGACGUGAAACAGGUGAACAUGUUGUCAACAGUCCACACGUCACACAUGGUUCAGGUUCAGCGCCGUGGAGGUCUGCUGGUCGCGAAGCCAGAGUGCGUCGUUGCCUACAACGAUGUAUAAAGGGAGUUGGCUAGGGGGACCAGUACGUACAAUCAUACCCUUCAGUGCGCAGGGCACUGAAGUGUUACAAAUCGAUUUUUUUUUCUAUUUAUGACUUAGCCACUAUGAACAACCAUGCAGUUUACAAGUAUUUGGGCAACAGGACAGAGCAGAUUGACUUUCGACUGGACCUCGCCAUAUCAUUUAUCAACAAUUUUGUACCAGACCUUCAGCCCUACAGUGCUCGAGGGCGCCCGUCAACGUUGCCUUCUUCCAGAUUUCAGGGCAGGACUCAACACAUUGUGAGGGAGAUGCCUGGAGGGAAAUACAGGAGGUGUUUCCUCUGCUACAGGGCUGGAAGGAGGAAGAGGACGCGGACUGUAUGUCCGGCAUGUGAGCUUUCGUUAUGCACCUACGGGUGCUUCGAGAGGUAUCACUCGCAAAAAGAGUUGGCAUAAGGAAAAAAAAUAAUAAAAAUGGUGAUGGGUACAAUCCUGUUUCUUGUUCUCCUUUUUGUAAUUGAAAAAGGCAGCUAAGUCCACAUUCUGACCUCCUAUAUAUAU
Penaeus chinensis is the source of this 2307-nucleotide RNA transcript. It is a transcript of the gene named piggyBac transposable element-derived protein 4-like, with no coding region annotated. NCBI's taxonomy places the organism in Eukaryota, Metazoa, Arthropoda, Malacostraca, Decapoda, Penaeidae. The transcript has 2 exons. The record is from RefSeq and is a predicted model, not a curated record.